RNAcentral lists this ribosomal RNA (501 nucleotides) under uncultured bacterium. Its description in RNAcentral is "bacterial SSU rRNA". It matches the Rfam family "Bacterial small subunit ribosomal RNA", at positions 28 to 537 of the family's 1533-position model. The record is from RNAcentral.
GACGAACGCUGGCGGCGUGCCUAACACAUGCAAGUCGAGCGGGGUUGAAGCGAGAGGUAACUCGAACUUCUACCUAGCGGCGGACGGGUGAGUAACGCGUGGGCAACCUGCCUCAAGGUCUGGGAUAACAGCCCGAAAGGGCUGCUAAUACUGGGUAUGCUUGUGGCCUCGCAUGGGGCUAUGAGCAAAGGGGAAACCCGCCUUGAGAUGGGCCCGCGUCCCAUCAGCUAGUUGGUGAGGUAACAGCUCACCAAGGCGACGACGGGUAGCCGGCCUGAGAGGGUGACCGGCCACACUGGGACUGAGACACGGCCCAGACUCCUACGGGGGGCAGCAGUGGGGGAUCUUGCACAAUGGGCGAAAGCCUGAUGCAGCGACGCCGCGUGAGCGAAGAAGGCCUCGGUGUAAGCUCUGUCUGGAGGGACGAGGAAGUGACGGUACCUCCGGAGGAAGCCACGGCGUAACUACGUAGCCAGCAGCCGCGGUAAACGUCGUACUCUA